Molecule: long non-coding RNA, 2139 nt
Filed under: Marmota monax (woodchuck)
Lineage: Eukaryota; Metazoa; Chordata; Mammalia; Rodentia; Sciuridae
Source: RNAcentral
CAGAAGAGAACUUUUUUGGGAAUUCUUCUGGGAGUGAAUGGCACCAUUAAAUUUCCAAAAGAAGGCUCCUCCAACAAAGAGCUCUUCACCUGAAUAUUUUGCAAGAGACACACUCUGGAGGUAAGGUUGUUAGUUAGAAUAGUCCUUGCUUUCUAGAAGCUGUGUCUGGGUAGAAAAUGAUAUGUUAAUUUCUUGCAGUCUGAUGAUUUGAGUACAUUUUAAUGGAUUCCAGUGGCCACAUAGCACAGUGGGUUAAAUGUCAGAGCUUUUGUGUAUAGCUUUUCUACAUUUCAGUAUAUUUCCUUCCAACAUGAAGGGUUUCCUUAUAACUUUUCUUCUCUCAUCCAGUUGACAGUACUUCUUUAUGGCUGGAUCCAUUGUAUUGCUAGAAAAUUGUAUUCAUGAGAUACAGUAUAUUCUCAGUGACUCCGACUAGAAAGUUGACAAAUAGUUUUGUCUGAAAUAAUUGAUCAAAUGAAUGAGCUUUAAGGAGCCAAGAACAGCAGGGAAGAGACAGAUACAAAAUUUGAAGUUGCUGAAGAAUGUCCUUAACUUUUUAGCCCAUCAAAAGGAGAAAAUGCAAUACAAUAGUACUUGGCAUUCUUUAUGUUAGGAAGCUAUAAAGUGAUUUUUGUAGCUAUAGUGUGGAUCCAGCUGCUAGAAAUGUGGCUUUCUCUUUGUACUCUACAUAGAUUUGUUCCAUCACAUGUAUGGGAAUAGUAAGAAUUUCAUGACCCCCUGCCUCUUUAGGGCAUGUGUUUCUAACCUCUGUCAUUUUUUCUCUCUGUGUCUUUGUAGGUGAUGACCCCAAAGACAAGGUAUAUUUGUUAGAGUUGGUGCCAUUACUUCUACCACCAGCUUCACCAAAACAAUGAUAUAGUCUUCCUUAUGCACAGUCACUUCUCUUUCCUGUGUGGCAGUGGAUACCUCCUGCAGAUAAGAAAUGCUUAACUGAGAAAUGCUCAUGUUGGGAUAUCAUCGAUGAGACUUUAAUUUGGGCAUGGUGACUGUUUCCCUUGCUGCCACUUGACUCAAACCCAGGAGCCUCACUAGAGGAAAUAAUAUUACACAAGAAGCUCAAAAUGAUGGAAUUGCUCAGUGCUCCCAUAAAGAUACACUUAUAAUUUUCCUUUGCCAUGUGAUAAAUUUUUGAAAAUAGGAUACAGUCAAAAGAAACUCUGCAUGAUAUUUUUUAAAAACUCGACAUUUAAAUAAUUAAUAUAUAAAUUAAGUGCCCUCCUCUCAUUAAUGCCACCCUUAUAGCUUUCUUCUAUUAAGGGAGGUAUGUGCAUUCUUUUAGAGGAUAGAUGUGCACAAACACAAAAACUAUUUUGGGGAGGGGGUCUAGAAGUGGGACAUAUUGUAAUAUAUUCUCCUGCAAAUUGCCUCUUUCAUUUAAUAGUCUUUUCAAUGGGCUUUUUCUACUUCAGUAAUACAUACAUAUCUGUGCCAUUUGUUGAAUGACUGCAUGACUGUUUUGUAGAUGAAAUAUAAUUAAAUGUUUUAAGCAUUUCUCAUUCAUAGAUAUUUAUGUUAGCACCAAAUUUCUGUGCAAUGAACCUCCCUAUAUAUCAACAAUCUUGCUUUUGUUUAUUAUAUCAUAAUAAAAUUACUAAGCAGUUGAAUCACUGGGAUUAAGAAUAUACACACUUCAAAUUCUGAAAAUUAUUGCAAAAUUUUCCUUUAAAAUGUGGUUAACAAUUUUAUCCUUCAUGGCAAUGAAUGAGAUUGCCAACUUUCCCACAACCGUACAGAUAAUGGAUUUUAUAAAUAUUUAAAAUCUUUGCCAAUGUUAUCGCCCAAACUAUUGUCUUAAAUUGUAUUUCUUUUGUUUUUUUAGUUUUGUCAUUUUUUCAUGUUUAUUAGUCAUCUGUAUUUUUUAAUUUCUUCUUUUAUGUCCAAUUUUGAGGGUUUGGGAAGGUUUUAGUCUCUUCCAGAUUUCAAAGAGCACAUUUACUAUUGAGGAAAUAAGCUUUGGAUUGUCAAGCAUUACAGAUUUUUUUACACACUUUUUAACUUUAUUUUGUUACAAGAAUGUGUAUGAUUGUUAUAUGUCCAAGUAUAACCAUGUUUGCUUUUAUGGUUUCUGAGUUUCAUGUCAUUUUUGGAAAGAUACUUAUACUUAGUCCAUAAAACCCU